Molecule: ribosomal RNA, 492 nt
Filed under: uncultured bacterium
Lineage: Bacteria
Description: partial 16S ribosomal RNA
Rfam family: Bacterial small subunit ribosomal RNA
Source: RNAcentral
AGUGAACGCUGGCGGUAGGCCUAACACAUGCAAGUCGAACGGCAGCACAGUAAGAGCUUGCUCUUACGGGUGGCGAGUGGCGGACGGGUGAGGAAUACAUCGGAAUCUACUUUUUCGUGGGGGAUAACGUAGGGAAACUUACGCUAAUACCGCAUACGACCUACGGGUGAAAGCAGGGGAUCUUCGGACCUUGCGCGAUUGAAUGAGCCGAUGUCGGAUUAGCGAGUUGGCGGGGUAAAGGCCCACCAAGGCGACGAUCCGUAGCUGGUCUGAGAGGAGGAUCAGCCACACUGGAACUGAGACACGGUCCAGACUCCUACGGGAGGCAGCAGUGGGGAAUAUUGGACAAUGGGCGCAAGCCUGAUCCAGCCAUACCGCGUGGGUGAAGAAGGCCUUCGGGUUGUAAAGCCCUUUUGUUGGGAAAGAAAAGCAGCAGGUUAAUACCCCGCUGUUCUGACGGUACCCAAAGAAUAAGCACCGGCUAACUUCGUG